AUUAAAAUUCUUUUGUUAAUGGCGUCUCUGUUCGUUCUCGGCCGAAAAUGCCAAAAGUGAAAGUGUGCUUUAUUUGUGGUGUGAUUGAUAAGGAAAGUGACAAAUCCUUUUUCUGUUUACAUUUCUGUUUUACAUUUCAUUAGGAAAAUUGGAGGAAUGACAGAAAAAAAUUGCCAAACCUGGGUUGACGAGAGCAUCAAGGUUGUGCGAGGCACAUUUUGAGAAAAGUGAAAUUCAUAAAGGAACUCAAGUAGGCAACGACUUUGUUCCAGCAACAAAAAAUCGUUUGUUAACGAAAAAUGUAGUGCCCACAAAAAAUUUGGCAGAGCAAUCUUGAAUCGGACUAGAAUGGCUUUACAGCCAUGUAUCCUUAACAUUGGAUCAACAGCAGAUACGAGGACCAAGGUUACGUACUGAACCAUGUACCAAAAUACAGAAGCCACAGCCAUAGCCAACAGAACUUGUUGGAGCUAUAACGAGUUUAGUUCAUCCAGAUGCAACAAUGACUGAUGGAUGCCACAAAGAUGCUGUAAUUCCUGCUGUUUGCCCCCUAUUGCUUAUGUUGUUGCCAACAAAGAAGAGAAUGAAUCAGUUUGUGUUAACAUGACAAACGAAGAAGUUCAAUCAUCAAUUUAUACCAAUGGAUGCCAUGCAGAGGCUGUGAUCCCUGAUGCUUCACGCUAUUCUUCUUGAGCUACUGAUGUUGCAGCUGACAAAGAGAAUGAAACAGCUUGCAAUAACGUGACAAGCGAAACAGUUGAAACAUCAACAAGCAAAGCUGGAUGCUGCGGAGUAACUUUGUGAACGAGUAAGGCGCCUCGAUCUGCAAUGAAUACUAAUUCAAACUGCAAAUAAAAUACAUAUUCAUUGCUUCUCGCAAGAGGAACGUGUUCAGGAAGAUUUUGCCAGAUUCCUGCAUCAAUUGUUCAAAGAAUUGCGCAAAGGUAGCAAAAUUGCAGGAAAAAAUAAAGGAAAAGGAAAAAACCAUUAGACGAUUAAGACAACAAAAUGCACGUCUAGUUUCAUAUUUCAACGAUAUGGCCGGAAAGAUCGAACAAUUUAAGGUGGAACUAAAGAACUUGACUGAGAAGUCACUGGAAAAAACAAAUAUGUCACUUGAAACCACAAGAGCAGGAAGUAAUUAGAACAUUCAUUGUGAAGGGACGGACACAGCUUACGUCGGAGAGUGGGAAAGCUUACUCUAUGUGAUAUGGUCCUGGCUUUUUACUCCAGUGUUUACUCUGGAAGAUGAAAAGCACCUCGGUGUAUAAACAUUUGAGGAAUAGAAGCAUACUUCCUCUUCCACAUCCAGAUACAAUCAGUAAAUUUCUGA
RNAcentral lists this long non-coding RNA (1333 nucleotides) under Daphnia magna. RNAcentral describes it as "uncharacterized LOC116932934, transcript variant X1". The record is from RNAcentral. Lineage: Eukaryota; Metazoa; Arthropoda; Branchiopoda; Diplostraca; Daphniidae.